ACCACCAUAGCCUACAUUUGGCAUUUCUAAGAAGGUUAUGCUGCCUAUCGCAUAUAUUUCUUACCCUUCCAUUUGGUCCUCUUCCCAAAAUUAUGCUCACAGGAAUGUCUCAAUUCCGACAGCAAUCGUAAACGAAAAUACGAGCCUGCAUCAAUUGUUCGUUUUUCAAACCUUCGAAUUUUACUUUUCAGUAUUCCGUGGCUAGGGCUGACAGCCAAGAACUGAUCAGUUUCUAAUUUUUCAUUUUAAAUUAGAUGAGAGAUUUUAUAAUCCUGUUUACGAAGGGUAGGAUGUCGAGUGAUUUUGUUUCAGUUUAACUGGUACAGAGGAAAGAAACAAGCAUACUUCCGGAGGACAGAGACCCUCUUACCCAAAGUCCAGGAUUUCCAACUGUGCAGGUGUGUUGUUGCCCUUUCUUGAAAUUUAAGCAUGAAACGAAAAGAAAACCGUGCAAGCCCCCAAAGUGAAAUUUGUUACACCACUUUCCAGCAGAUCACUAUAACAAAAUCUUGAAAUUUUCUGAAAUGGCUCCUUUUGGUUGCACUUUUCCCAGGUAUUGCUGUCGACCUACAUCAUUACUAUAAAAGGUGUACACAAUGUAUGAUGCUUUUAAAAGUUAGCCAUCAGGAAGAACAGUUAUUAGACAGCUGCAGAUAUCAAUUACAAGCUGCACCUCUACCUAAUCGACCUUAAUCAAACCGCUGAGAUAUCUAUCAAUUCAGAUAAUAGCGUUUCACAAUUCACGUAAGAUGAUAUUU
RNAcentral lists this long non-coding RNA (758 nucleotides) under Coffea arabica (coffee). RNAcentral describes it as "long non-coding RNA (CARA_LNC004061)". Lineage: Eukaryota; Viridiplantae; Streptophyta; Magnoliopsida; Gentianales; Rubiaceae. The record is from RNAcentral.